UUUUAAUUGCUUUACCGCAAGACAAAGGGUCGAAUAACCCUUGCACUGCUUAUUUUUUGGGAUGCACAAAAUAAAAGGGUAAAUUUCACAGCAGUCCCUGAAUUUACAACUUAUCAUUUUUAAACUUUAAUUUGUAACAUAAAAUUUUUUUAAAUUUGAAAAUAAAAAUAAAAACAAAAUUUGAAAAUAAAAAUAAAAGAAUUAUUGUUAUUUUUUUUAAAACAAUAAUUAGAGAAAAGAAAAUGGAGAAGAUCAUGCGAAUUAGAUUUCUUAAUUUUCUUUUGUUUUUUAAAUAUUAUUAAUAAUUUAAAGUAAAAAAAAAAAAGAGAGUAAAUGAAAAAGUCAAAAUGAUGGUGAAAUCUAUUUGAAGGUAAAAGCUCUAUUUAGUUUUUUAAAUUAUGACAUGAUAAUCAAGUAAACUCUUUAAAUUUUUUAUGUUUAAGUAAGCUUUAAAAUUAAAAAUAAAAAAUAAAAAAAACGUUUAAAUUUUUAAAAUUUAAUUAAAUAAGUCUUUAAAAAUAAAUAAGUAUUUUCUUUCAAUUCAUAUAUAUUUUUUCUAUUAAUUUCUCCACCAUACUUAGUAUUUGUUUUUUUAGAAGAGGGAAAUUAAAUUUUAGUCACACAGAUUUUUAAAUAUAUGGGUAAUUUUUAUUUAUAGUCUUUCAACUUUAUUAUAAUUUUUAUUUAUAUGAUUUAUUCGGUUUGGUUCGGUUUUGAAUCGAACCGACCGAAUGCUCAUAACUUUGCAAAUGGGGCUGAUUGCUUAAAUGCUUUAAACAUGAAAUUCUCCAAAAUCAUUUGAAUCAAUUUGUUCCCCAUCGUAAAGAGAAACACAACUUGUUUACUCACCGUUGAUCUCUAUGUUCACUACAAAAAUAUAAUAAAAUGCAAACAGAAUUUACUAUGAAUCUGUUUAUAAUUUAUAAACCAACGUUGAAAAAAUAUUAUUUUCUUUACAAUUUGAUUUUCGUCCAUUUGUAAAUUUAUUGAUAUCAAUUUAAUUUCACAAACGGAUUAAUAUUAAUUUAUAAAUUUAUUUAUAUUUAUUUAAUUUUAUAAAUAGAUUAUAUCUUUAUUUUUGUAGUUUAAUUUUAUAAACAGAUUACAUAUCCGUUAUUAUAUCUCCAUUUAUAAAUCUAUUUAUUUUCAUUUAAUUUUAUAAAUAGAUUACACAUUAAUUUGUGGAUUCGUUUAUAUUCACUUAAUUUUACAAACUAUUUAAUUUUUUAAAUAAAUUAUAUGUCUAUUUAUAAAUUUAUUUAUAUUUAUUUAAUUUUAUAAAUAAUUUAUAUAUUUAUUUUUAAAUCUAUUUGUGAUAAAUUAAUUUUACAAAUAAACUAUACAUCCAUUUGAGUUAUCUGUAUUUCUAAAUCUAUUUGUGAUAAAUUAAUUUUACAAAUAAACUAUACAUCCAUUUGAAUUAUCUAAUUAAAUUUUAUAAAUAGAUUUCAUGUUCUGUAUUUAUUAAAUUUUAUAAAUAAAUUUUAUGUUCGUUAAAUUAUAUCUAUUUAAUUUUAGAAGCAAAUUAUAUAUCUGUAUUUAAAUACGUUUAUGUUCAUUUAAUUUAACAAAUAGAUUAUAUGUCUGAUUGUGAAUCUAUUUAUAUCCAUCUAAUUUUUUAAAUAAAUUAUGAUUUGUAUCUAUUUAAUUUUACAAAUAGAUUAUACGUUGAUUUGAGAAGUCUCUUGUGUCUAUUAAUUUUAUAAACAAAUUUUGUAUUCAUUUAUAAAUCUAUUUAUAUUAUUUAAUUUUACAAACAGAUUAUAUAUCUGUUUAUAAAUCCGUUUAUAUUUAUUUAAUUUUAAUUUCAUAUCGAUAAAUUAUAGAUAAUGAGGAGUUUUACUUCCCUAUAAAAUGGAAAAGCCCCUCUUCCUUUUAAAAUUAGUACAUGAUUUUUAUAUGUUAUGGACCUAAUAUGGAAUCUAUAAAAAGUUUAAAUAUUUUAAUUUUAAAAUAUUUUUUAUUUAAUUUUAUUUUUAAAUUAUUUUUAAACUCUAAUUAAUAAUUGAGCUUAAAUAUAAACUUAUCAUGAGUUGAACUCAAAUUAAACUCAAGUUUAUCAAAUAUUUCAUGAGAAUUGAAUUUCAAUUUAUAAAUUUUAUAAUAUGUAAAAUUCAACUUUAAAAAUAUUUUAGUUCAAUUACACCUUUAACCACAUGAAUAAAAGUUAAAUUAAUUAGCAGCUUUGUCUAUAAAAAAUUAUAAAAUAUAAAUAAAUUAAUUAAUAACAGAGAGAGAACUACGAGACGAGAAACUAAUUUAGAGAGAAAGACAGUUAAAAAGUCAGAGAUGAUAUGGUAGAGAUUAUUUGGAGUCAACCAUGAAUUCUCUUAUCAGUCAAGUAGGAUUACAUGUUGAUGAGAUUUUGACUUUUGAUUAUUGAUAAAAUGAAAGAAAAAUUAAUUUUAAUAAAUUAUGAAUUUUAAUUUAUUUAGGAAUUUUAAUUCGGAUAUUCAAGAGGUUUUAAUUAAGAUAUAAUCAUGAUAUAAAUGUGAUUAUGGAAAAUUUUAAAUUAUUUUAUUCAAUUUGAUUUAAAAUUUAAUCGAUUAAAAAAUAAUAAAAAAUUUAGUAGAACAACAUAUGAUAAAUUUAGAUUUUAAUCAAAAUUAAUUUAAAUUGAUGAUUAAAAUUGUGAUUAAUUUUAAAAUUACAGUGUUCAAAAUUAAAAUAGAAUAUAAAUGUAAAUUUAUGAAAAAUUUUGAUUUUUUUUAAUAAGUUUUAUUUAUAUAAAUAUUUAAUUUUUAUGAUAGAAAGAAAGUUGAGAGAAAAUGAAAUAAAGUGAAAAAAUUAUUAGUCGGAGAAGAAAAAUAUAUAUUUUUAAAUUGUAGUAAUUCAUAAAAAUGUUAUAUCACGUAAUAGAGAGUUUAAUAAUAUUUAAAUUAAAGUUAAGGAAUUAAAAAAAUAAAAUAAGGUAAUUAAAUUGAAAAUACACUCACAAGCUGAAAGGUUAUGGGAAUGGAUGCUAAUUCACAAGUUGCUCUAAUGAAUUUCUCCGCAUAUAGCAUGCAGCAAAGGAUAAAAUUAGAGUUGUUAUCUUGGUUCCUAUACUAAAAUUAGCUGCUCAAACGAUGAAAGUGCAAAAGAAUGGCUGAAAGGGAAUAAAAAUUUCACAUUAAGCUAAUGACAAAGAACUUGCGUGAAUAUUUUAUUUUUUCAAAGAAACCAAAGCUGCUUUUUUUUGUUUCUCUCCAAAAGAUGUGCAAAUAUUUAUUAAAGGGGCUGCCAAAAAAAGCCCAAAAGUUGCAACAAUACAUCCAUGGCCUACAGAAGACACAAUCAAUACACGAGCAGAUGAGAUUUUCCUCUGUCUCUAACCUUUUAAAGAGAGAUUUUUUUUUUUUUUUUUUCAUUUUUCUUCUUCUGAGCUACAUGCCUUUUUGCUGCCGUCGAAAUCGGUUCUUCUCUGCUCCUUGGAGCAGGAGGAUCUCCGGUAUUUUAUCUAUGAUUGUGCUUAGAAAUUGUUAUUUUCAGAAUUAUCUAUUGUUUUGAGAAAAUUAAUGGUAUUAUUUCUUUUUUCAGUUUACCAAUUAUCUCUACUAAACAUAAUAAUUAUUUUCUACAAUUUUCUAAGAAUAUAUCUCAUCACCUCACUCUUUCUCUUAAUUAUUCUACUUUUCUAGCGGUGGAUUAAUAAAAGAGAAAAGAGAAUUAUUAAGAUUGAAAAAAUUAAGUAAAAUAGAUAGUAAUUUAAUAUUUUGUUACAAUUUAAGUUAUUUAAUUUUUUUUUAAUUAUCAACGCAAAAACCAAGUGGUCGAAUUUUUUGGUACACGAUUUGAAUUUAUUUCAAUAUUUUUUAAAGUUAUUUUGAUAGGUGUAUAUGGUAUAUUUGCAUUACAUAAUAAUAAUAAUAAUAAUAAUAAUAAUAAUAAUAAAACGAUCUCAUACUUGUAAUAAAAGGUAUGCAACUACAAAUAAACAAAAAGGGAAAAAAAUAAGUUGGAGGUUUACAAAAUACAUGGAAAAGAAAUAUAAAGUAGAAUUUGCAGGAAUCCAACCUUCCAUGAACAUAAAACCGAGGCACAGAGGCACAUGAUCACACAAGCUGCAGCAGCAACACUGAGAUGAAGGAUAAGAGUCUUAGUACACAAAUCCAUCAGAUCACAAGAAGGAAGGAGUAACACCCAUGAGAUCAAAACCAAAUCUUAAUGAAGGUUCCUGAAAUGUUGAAAUAUGGAAUGCUAAAGACUGAAGCGUAGGGAGAAGAUGAAAACAGGAGAGAAGGAAGAAGAAGAGGGUAGUGAUUGGAGCCAUAAAGAUAUGUUUAUGUGCAUUGGUAUGUGUCUUUUUCUCGAGACCAAUGCUUAAUAUAUAGAAAUGGGUAGUUGCUAAUCUUUUCAUAUAUGUCAAUGGGAGUUGGCAAGGGUGGCCCAAUUGUCAAUUGAGUCAAUUCAAGUGAUAAUUGACUAGAUUUAAUGCUUAACUUGCUCCGAAGCAAUAGUUGUAUGAAAAAACUUAUCUCGUAUGAAUGUAUA
RNAcentral lists this long non-coding RNA (4473 nucleotides) under Manihot esculenta (cassava). Its description in RNAcentral is "long non-coding RNA (MESC_LNC005828)". Lineage: Eukaryota; Viridiplantae; Streptophyta; Magnoliopsida; Malpighiales; Euphorbiaceae. The record is from RNAcentral.